RNAcentral lists this ribosomal RNA (438 nucleotides) under uncultured bacterium. Its description in RNAcentral is "bacterial SSU rRNA". It matches the Rfam family "Bacterial small subunit ribosomal RNA", at positions 337 to 791 of the family's 1533-position model. The record is from RNAcentral.
GCCUACGGGGGGCAGCAGUAGGGAAUAUUGGUGAAUGGGCGAAAGCCCGACCCAGCAACGCCGCGUGUGCGAAGAAGGCCUUCGGGUUGUAAAGCACUUUUUAGCGGGAAGAGGAAGGACGGUACCGCUAGAAUAAGUCUCGGCUAACUACGUGCCAGCAGCCGCGGUAACACGUAGGAGACGAGCGUUAUCCGGAUUUACUGGGUGUAAAGCGCGUGUAGGCGGUCGAGUAAGUUGGAUGUGAAAGCUCCCGGCUCAACUGGGAGAGGUCGUUCAAUACUGCUUGGCUAGAGGACAGCAGAGGGGAGUGGAAUUCCGAGUGUAGCGGUAAAAUGCAUAGAUAUUCGGAAGAACACCAGUGGCGAAGGCGGCUCUCUGGGCUGGUCCUGACGCUCAGACGCGAAAGCUAGGGUAGCAAACGGGAUUAGAUACCCCGGU